RNAcentral lists this transfer RNA (73 nucleotides) under Bacteroidia bacterium. RNAcentral's name for it is "tRNA-Phe". It matches the Rfam family "tRNA". Rfam says of the family: Transfer RNA (tRNA) molecules are approximately 80 nucleotides in length. Lineage: Bacteria; Pseudomonadati; Bacteroidota; Bacteroidia. The record is from RNAcentral.
GGUGAUGAAGCUCAGUUGGUAGAGCAAAGGACUGAAAAUCCUUGUGUCGGCAGUUCGAUUCUGUCCAUCACCA